RNAcentral lists this ribosomal RNA (357 nucleotides) under uncultured Pusillimonas sp. Its description in RNAcentral is "bacterial SSU rRNA". It matches the Rfam family "Bacterial small subunit ribosomal RNA", at positions 1020 to 1382 of the family's 1533-position model. Lineage: Bacteria; Pseudomonadati; Pseudomonadota; Betaproteobacteria; Burkholderiales; Alcaligenaceae. The record is from RNAcentral.
UUCGGAGAGCCUGCACAGGUGCUGCAUGGCUGUCGUCAGCUCGUGUCGUGAGAUGUUGGGUUAAGUCCCGCCAACGAGCGCAACCCUUGUCAUUAGUUGCUACGAAAGGGCACUCUAAUGAGACUGCCGGUGACAAACCGGAGGAAGGUGGGGAUGACGUCAAGUCCUCAUGGCCCUUAUGGGUAGGCUUCACACGCCAUACAAUGGUCGGGACAGAGGGUCGCCAACCCGCGAGGGGGAGCCAAUCCCAGAAACCCGAUCGUAGUCCGGAUUGCAGGCUGCAACUCGCCUGCAUGAAGUCGGAAUCGCUAGUAAUCGCGGAUCAGCAUGUCGCGGUGAAUACGUUCCCGGGUCCUU